CUGGUCUGGAGGUGGCUGGGUUCAUAGGGAUUCUGGAGGGCUGGGAAGGGGUUUUAGCCUUCUUGGUUCCAUUUCUGACACCCUCAGAGCAGGCAGCACCGGGAAGUUCUCUAGAGAAUAAAGGACCCUUUAUGUAGGCCUGUACCUCUCAUUCAUUCCUGCAGUGUCACUGAGGACUCCAUGGUGAGGCAGGGCUGUGUGUCUCACUGACUAGGGGCCCCACUGGGUGGGAAUCUCUAGCAGGGCAAGCCAGAAUCCUUUUUGCUUUCCACAUGUACGGUGUAUCACAUCUGUUGGGUCUCCAGGAUCCUGUCUCUACUCAGUUUCUCAGAUACCUUCAGGGCAUCCUCUCCUGACUUGAUGCAUGCCUAGCAUUGGGACCAUCUUUCUUAGUUUAACCGUCUCUUCUGUGAAACUGCCAGCUGACUUGGUCUCUGUACACUGGAGGCUUCCUGACUUCUCCUAAUUACAGAAGGUAGAUUAUGGGAUUCUUCCACCUCUAUGUUCUAUCUGGCACCAUGUGAAUUCUGGCUCUUCUUCAAAUGCAAAAUGAAAAUGAUAAGUAAACAUUUUGAAUCUGUUAAGAACAUGAAGGCAGCCAAGACAGCAGAACAAAAGACAUGAAAAAGAACUUCUAGAACUGCUUCAGAAAGUGACAAGAAUCAUAGAAUAAGUGUGCUUGAAGUGAAGGUGAGUAUUUUGAAGAAAAAUAAUGACAAUGUAUCUUUUACUCUAAUACAUUUUCAACCACACCUUGUAUAUAUACCGUAUACAACCAUAUGACAAGUUACAUACAGAAGCAGAGAUGGUACAUUUUAGUCCUUAUUUCCACUUUCAGU
Heterocephalus glaber (naked mole-rat) is the source of this 839-nucleotide non-coding RNA. The record is from RefSeq and is a predicted model, not a curated record. Lineage: Eukaryota; Metazoa; Chordata; Mammalia; Rodentia; Bathyergidae.